This 497-nucleotide ribosomal RNA is filed under the name uncultured bacterium. RNAcentral's name for it is "partial 16S ribosomal RNA". It matches the Rfam family "Bacterial small subunit ribosomal RNA", at positions 28 to 507 of the family's 1533-position model. The record is from RNAcentral.
GACGAACGCUGGCGGCGUGCCUAAUACAUGCAAGUUGAGCGCUGAAGGUUGGUACUUGUACCAACUGGAUGAGCAGCGAACGGGUGAGUAACGCGUGGGGAAUCUGCUUUUGAGCGGGGGACAACAUUUGGAAACGAAUGCUAAUACCGCAUAAAAACUUUAAACACAAGUUUUAAGUUUGAAAGAUGCAAUUGCAUCACUCAAAGAUGAUCCCGCGUUGUAUUAGCUAGUUGGUGAGGUAAAGGCUCACCAAGGCGAUGAUACAUAGCCGACCUGAGAGGGUGAUCGGCCACAUUUGGACUGAGAAACGGCCCAAACUCCUACGGGAGGCAGCAGUAGGGGAUCUUCGGCAAUGGACGAAAGUCUGACCGAGCAACGCCGCGUGAGGGAAGAAGGUUUUCGGAUCGUAAAACUCUGUUGAUAGGGAAGAACGUUGGUGAGAGUGGAAAGCUCAUCAAGUGACGGUAACUACCCAGAAAGGGACGGCUAACUACGUG